This is a long non-coding RNA of Daphnia magna, 353 nucleotides long. RefSeq lists it as uncharacterized. NCBI's taxonomy places the organism in Eukaryota, Metazoa, Arthropoda, Branchiopoda, Diplostraca, Daphniidae. The record is from RefSeq and is a predicted model, not a curated record. The transcript has 2 exons.
GUUGAACGUGGAUAGUCGCUGCUUACCACUUUAUCCCCCAUUCUCGUUUUGUGAUUUCUCGUCUCAUUUUGUGAACUUGAUUCACUUUCUACUUAUUCAUCGUUCUUGGUAAUGGCAGAUGUACUUCAAACGAUGUCGCAAAAUAAUCCUUGGCGCGUUAUUGGAAACGUGCGCAAGAAGUAUACUAUAUUACGCGGCCCAAUAAAGAUUCGUGAUUUGUGCACAGACCCACAUGACGAAACCUUUGUUGAUAAAGUAGUUACUGUUUGUUGUUGUUUACUUAAUGCAAUGCCAAGUGUUGUACCUCCUACUUAAAUACCAACGAAUAAAUGAAGUCAUGGUGAUGAAAACUA